GCCCAGAGUCUGAAUCAGCUUGUGUGUUAGUGGAACGGUCUGGAAAGUCCGACGGUACAGGGUGAUAGUCCCGUACACCAAAAUGCACAGGCUGUGAACUCGAAGAGUAGGGCGGGACACGUGGUAUCCUGUCUGAAUAUGGGGGGACCAUCCUCCAAGGCUAAAUACUCCUGACUGACCGAUAGUGAACCAGUACCGUGAGGGAAAGGCGAAAAGAACCCCGGCGAGGGGAGUGAAAAAGAACCUGAAACCGUGUACGUACAAGCAGUGGGAGCACCUUCGGGUGUGACUGCGUACCUUUUGUAUAAUGGGUCAGCGACUUAUAUUCUGUAGCAAGGUUAACCGUAUAGGGGAGCCGCAGGGAAACCGAGUCUUAACUGGGCGUUAAGUUGCAGGGUAUAGACCCGAAACCCGGUGAUCUAGCCAUGGGCAGGUUGAAGGUUGGGUAACACUAACUGGAGGACCGAACCGACUAAUGUUGAAAAAUUAGCGGAUGACUUGUGGCUGGGGGUGAAAGGCCAAUCAAACCGGGAGAUAGCUGGUUCUCCCCGAAAGCUAUUUAGGUAGCGCCUCGUGAACUCAUCUUCGGGGGUAGAGCACUGUUUCGGCUAGGGGGUCAUCCCGACUUACCAACCCGAUGCAAACUACGAAUACCGAAGAAUGUUAUCACGGGAGACACACGGCGGGUGCUAACGUCCGUCGUGAAGAGGGAAACAACCCAGACCGCCAGCUAAGGUCCCAAAGUCAUGGUUAAGUGGGAAACGAUGUGGGAAGGCACAGACAGCCAGGAUGUUGGCUUAGAAGCAGCCAUCAUUUAAAGAAAGCGUAAUAGCUCACUGGUCGAGUCGGCCUGCGCGGAAGAUGUAACGGGGCUAAACCAUGCACCGAAGCUGCGGCAGCGACACUAUGUGUUGUUGGGUAGGGGAGCG
This 929-nucleotide ribosomal RNA is filed under the name Klebsiella pneumoniae. RNAcentral's name for it is "partial 23S ribosomal RNA". It matches the Rfam family "Bacterial large subunit ribosomal RNA", at positions 296 to 1238 of the family's 2925-position model. Lineage: Bacteria; Pseudomonadati; Pseudomonadota; Gammaproteobacteria; Enterobacterales; Enterobacteriaceae. The record is from RNAcentral.